RNAcentral lists this ribosomal RNA (279 nucleotides) under uncultured bacterium. Its description in RNAcentral is "partial 16S ribosomal RNA". It matches the Rfam family "Bacterial small subunit ribosomal RNA", at positions 506 to 784 of the family's 1533-position model. The record is from RNAcentral.
UGCCAGCAGCCGCGGUAAGACGAAGGUGGCGAGCGUUAUUCGGAUUUACUGGGCAUAAAGCGCGCGUAGGCGGCCGGGUCAGUCGGAGGUGAAAGUCCGCAGCUCAACUGCGGAAUUGCCCCCGAUACUGCCUGGCUUGAGUGCAGGAGGGGUGACUGGAACUCCAGGUGUAGCGGUGAAAUGCGUAGAUAUCUGGAGGAACACCGGAGGCGAAGGCGGGUCACUGGACUGCAACUGACGCUGAGGUGCGAAAGCUAGGGGAGCGAACAGGAUUAGAUA